AUUGGUUCUUGGCCUUUUGGCUGAGAUCAAGUGUAAUUAUCUGUUCUGAUCAGUUUUAUGAGGUUUGCUAUUUUUUGCAAAUUUUGAGAACUUCAGUAUGUCCAAAAGCAGGUUCCCUAU
This is a small nuclear RNA of Anolis carolinensis (green anole), 120 nucleotides long. Its record names the gene U2. It matches the Rfam family "U2 spliceosomal RNA". From Rfam's summary of the family: U2 is a small nuclear RNA (snRNA) component of the spliceosome (involved in pre-mRNA splicing). Complementary binding between U2 snRNA (in an area lying towards the 5' end but 3' to hairpin I) and the branchpoint sequence (BPS) of the intron results the bulging out of an unpaired adenosine, on the BPS, which initiates a nucleophilic attack at the intronic 5' splice site, thus starting the first of two transesterification reactions that mediate splicing. The record is from Ensembl. NCBI's taxonomy places the organism in Eukaryota, Metazoa, Chordata, Lepidosauria, Squamata, Anolidae.